GUCGCAUCCAACUUACUCCAAGUUUUCUGGCUCAACUCCGAAUGGAUUGGAUUGCGAGUCUGCACGUGAGAAAACCGUUUGGCUUGGCUUGGACCCCUGCCGCCCCCCACCUCCUCCACACACACCCAGUCCAGGGGUCCCCUUUAUCACCCUUUGCUUGCAACUCCAAAAGAAGUUGCCCACCUCCUGAGUCACAACACAAGGUCGAAUAAUUCCUCUAGAUGAAAGAUCAGUUUCAUUUCAAAACGAGAAUAGGUUCCUUUUUUUAUUUUCUCCACAUGGUACAAAAU
RNAcentral lists this long non-coding RNA (290 nucleotides) under Homo sapiens (human). Its description in RNAcentral is "non-protein coding lnc-ZEB2-1:2". The record is from RNAcentral. Lineage: Eukaryota; Metazoa; Chordata; Mammalia; Primates; Hominidae.